UGGGGAAUUUUGGACCAUGGGGGAAACCCUGCUCCAGCCAUCCCGCGUGUGCGAUGAAGGCCUUCGGGUUGUAAAGCACUUUUGGCAGGCAAGAAACGUCAUGGGUUAAUACCCCGUGAAACUGACGGUACCUGCAGAAUAAGCACCGGCUCACUACGUGCCAGCAGCCGCGGUAAUACGUAGGGUGCAAGCGUUAAUCGGAAUUACUGGGCGUAAAGCGUGCGCAGGCGGUUCGGAAAGAAAGAUGUGAAAUCCCAGAGCUCAACUUUGGAACUGCAUUUUUAACUACCGGGCUAGAGUGUGUCAGAGGGAGGUGGGAUGCCGCGUGUAGCAGUGAAAUGCGUAGAUAUGCGGAGGAACACCGAUGGCGAAGGCAGCCUCCUGGGAUAACACUGACGCUCAUGCACGAAAGCGUGGGGAGCAAACAGG
This 429-nucleotide ribosomal RNA is filed under the name Acidobacteriota bacterium. RNAcentral describes it as "Acidobacteria bacterium partial 16S ribosomal RNA". It matches the Rfam family "Bacterial small subunit ribosomal RNA", at positions 355 to 776 of the family's 1533-position model. The record is from RNAcentral. Lineage: Bacteria; Pseudomonadati; Acidobacteriota.